GUUCAAGACAACCUCGGUUCAAAAGCCUAAUAUCACAAAGAGCAGACGACUUCACAAAGAGCAGACUUAGAACACCCUGUAUGGUUUCCCCAUGGUGCUCUUGACGUACAGGCAUCUCACCUGCAUAGCAUAUAUCACAAUAUGUUAUAACGACGUCCUUCAGAUUAUAUUAUAAAAUUUUCAUUAAGGCCUUGUUUAGUUCCCAAAAUUUUUCAAGAUUUCCCGUCACAUCGAAUCUUGCGGCACAUGCAUGAAGCAUUAAAUAUAGACGAAAAUAAAAACUAAUUACGCAGUUUACCUGUAAAUCGCGAGACGAAUCUUUUGAUCCUAGUUAGUCUAUGAUUGGAUAAUAUUUACCACAAACAAACGAAAGUGCUACAGUAGCGAAAUCCAAAUUUUUUCUCAAACUAAACAAGGCCUAAAUGAACAACAGGAACAAUUUUUAAGGUAUGUAUAGAUGCAACAGAGACCAAAGCAACACUCACAUUCUGCCAAUUCUUCUUCAGGAGGGACACAAGGAAGUUGACGCUCAUUUGGAUGUUCUGCUGGAUCUGCUUCUCCUCCAUGGACAAGUUACCGACGGCGACACCCAUGCAAAGGACCUUCUUCAGCUGAAACUUGACUGUAGCCUUAGUCUCGUUCACCUUGGAUUCCAGGGAUUCCUGGUGAGUUACCAGCGUAGGGAACUUGCCUGCAGUAGUGAUAUCAGCAUGGUUCAAUAAGAAUGGCGGGCAAUGCAGACCAUAUCUAGCAAAAGCUCGCACAUGCAGAGAUCCCAGAGUUUUGAGAAUGUGUCAUCACCAUAGGAGACAACACUGCAUAACUACUCUACAUCUUACAAGCUUAGCAUGCAAAGUAACAAUUAUGUCAGAAAUGGACUACUUGCCUGCCUUGUUGAGACCAGGGCCAAGGAGACGGGGAAUCUGCUUGAUGAUAGCCUCUGAUGCCAAGAAAGCAUGGUACUUCUUAGCAAGCUUCUUAACAAGCUUCUUGUUCUUGUUCAUUUUCUUGAGGGACUCAACAUCCAUGUAGUCAAGUCCCAUCUUCUCAGCCUGCAAAUGAAGUAAAAUGGUUUAUGUGAGGAAGAGUUCAUCCAGAUAGAAAGGGCACUUACAUUAUCUGAGCACACUCUCAAACUUCCAUACAGGUGAGCAUGUUUUGUAUAAACAGAUUUCAAUGCAAAUGGAAUCAAGUGCAAGAUUGGACUGACUCAUACAUGCCAGUCACAAUUGAGUAAUUCAAAACAUUGUUGUUUUUUUCAGUUCAAUGGACUACUAAGGUACUACCGUAAGCAUGUUCAACAUAUAAAUAAGUAUAUUUUCAAGCACAUCAGCAACUGCCUGCUUACCUCCUCAACGUGCUGGGCAUCACCAAGCAUGCACACCUUCAUCUUUGGACGAGGGAUGUGGGGCAACUUAACAGAGCCACUGAAACGCUUGUCCUUCUGUGGAUCAUAAUUCUUCAGACCAAUCUGAAGUUCAACAGUCUCGGUGAACUUCCUAUUCUUCUCCUUGGCAUCCCCAACGAUUUGGGAGAUGGCAUCCUUGAGAACCUCAGACUGCAACUUACUGCAAUAAUACCAGGGCACAGAAAUUAUUUGACAAAGAUAAUUUAUCUGGAUGGGAACACCUCUAGCAUUCAAAUUAUUAAUGAUAAUAGGGGUAAUUGUAGAAGGCAAAAACUGCAGAGUAAUUAAUCAUAAUAAGCAAACUAAGUGAAUCUAUCUCAAGUGUUGAGACAACAACCUGAAUCUAUCUCACAUCCAUUUGCAUUGUGUGAAUUGCGAACAAACUAACGGCUGGACCCGACUCCCAAAGAAUCAGAUUGCAAUAGGCCUGCUAACGGGGUCUAACCCAACCCCAAGCCAUAGCCAAUGAGUCAAUUGGUCUAGCCCAACUCUACCCAAAAAUCUAAAUCAAGCACCCACCCCACCCAGCCCCAUUAACUCAUGGAGCAUGCUAGCCAAUACUCUCAGGUUGCUGAAAGACACCCCACCCAGCCCCAUUAACUCAAGGAGCAUGCUAGCUGAUACUCUCAGGUUGCUGAAAGAUUCGUCCCCAGGAUGUUCUAAAUCAUAGAGAAAAGUAAUCCAGAUGAACUUGAAUAGAAAUUUCUGAGCAACACAUCCAAGAUCCAUCCACUGGUAACACAGAGCAGCAAUUGGAGAUAGUGGGAUACGAAUUUCAACUCUCACAGUUUGUUUAAAAAAAAUGUUUCUAAAGAAACAAGAGAAAAUGUCACAGAAAAGCCAAACUGGACGGCCAUUAGCAACGGCCAGCCAGCAUUAAAUCCUGCAUUUCUCUUGUAGGAAAGAGCUCAAGAGCUGUGGUGGAAACCAUGUGAUCACUUCCAUAUCACGCAGUCACCUCGCUUUCCAAAUCCAUCACUAAUCCGGGAAAAUAUAGUCAAAAAGAACAAAACAGACUGCAGCCAGAUGGAUCCAGAAAAACAGAACCAGUGCAAAGAGCGAUGCAACAUACAAAUGGAUAAAAAAAACAGAACUGCAGCAAAGAUAGGUUAGAGAAAUCGCUGAUGAAAGUGUGCAGUACAAGGGCUCAAUGGCAGUGCUCGUCACCUUCUAUGCAAGCUGCCAGCAGCGGCAGAUCAAGGCUGGAGGCAACCUGUGGGAAGAGACAACUGACAAGCACAUCCUCCCUAGCGCCAGCACCAAGCUCCUCCUGCCGCCCCUCCUCUCCAGUGUGGAGGGCCUCCCACAUAGCCUUGCCCACACUAGGAUCCAUGGGGGGCUGGUGCCACACCAGUAAUGCCACACAGCUCAGCCUCGCCACUGCCCACAGUAGCAGCGAUGCUGCCCCCGACCCUAGCUCCUAGGAAGCAGUCGGGGCUGAUAAAACCACUGAGUUCACACGCCAACCCACCCCAACUCAUGUUUCUUGUAAACCCAACCCGUUCCAAUCUAUGACACAGUAAAACAAGUUUCCACCCAUUUACAGCACACAUUAGAACCUGACCCCGAAAAAAAAUGUAACGCUGCCCCAUUAGCAGGCCUAGAAUGGAAAGACCAAGGCUACAUCAAGCAUAACCUAAUCAUAGCAUGAUACAGGUGCUCCUAGAUUUCUUAUCAUCCUUGGAUCAAUAACAUAGCUUAUAAUAAUCAAGUGAAACAGAAGACAAAUACAUAAGGCAUCGAUCUCCUAAAGGCACGAUUCAGCAAAAAAAGAUCCCUUGUAGGGAACCAAAUCCUUCCAUGGCAACCAACAAUCAUAGAAAAAUAUAGUGGGAUAUAGCGGCGCUAUAGCGGCAAAAGAGACUUGAAGCUAAGCUAUUCUAUUUUUGCCACUAUAACAAGUUUUACCGCUAUUGCACGCUAUAGCAUUGAUAUAGCCCGCUAUUGCCCUUCAAACACCAUGUUAUUGCACGCUAUAGCGCCGCCCGCUUAGCCCACUAAUUUGGUAUGUUGGACAAUUAAAUGCUAGACUUUCAUGAACCAUGUUGUAAAGUCAUAUUGCUAAUAUUACUUUGUGAAACCUUAGAAACCUAUUUGUGUUCAUCGAUGCCAAGUUUUAUUUUCAUCAAUUACUGGUGUUUUCCAUGUUUCUUCAUAAAAAUGCUAUUUGUCAUAGCGCUGUAGUACCUUCACAGCUGCUGAAAAAAGUUGCCUAUAUUUUCAAUAACCCGCUAUUUUAAACUUCGACAACAAUACACGAUUUCUAUCGCACUCUACCGCAAGAACUGAUACACGACACAGCAGAUGCGGCGAGAGAGAAAUCAGUAGUACCUCAUGGCUGCAACCGAUCACACAACUCCCUGUAGAAGGAACAACAAAAAAAAAAGAGAAAGAAGGGUCAGAUACGGUGAAAUGGACAACAUAUAGGGCACCGAAACAUGCGAUUUCGCGAAUCGAGCCGUCAUCAAGAGAGGAGGCGGCCAUGGCAAGCAUACCUGCUUAGGGUUUGGCCCGAGGCGAGCGACGGAGCGAGGCGAAAAGGGAAUUGAAACGGCGGCGCCGGGUGUUUAUAUAUGAGCGGGGAGCGGUGUCGAAGCAAAACCCUAGAACGAGCUCCCGAUGGAUGACGCGUGUUAAUCUUGGAACCGUCGGAUGUGCGGAUUCGGACGUUUUGGGCCAUUGGGCCUCUUCCAGAUGUAUGUGGGCCAUAUUUGUGGCUUUGCCACUGAUCAGGGCUUCCAAUAGUGACAUAAGGAAAAUGUGUUAUAGUCGAAUUUUCCUCAUAUAGAACUUUAAAAUCAAACAUUUUAACCUCUAAACUCUCAAGACUAUUCAAAUUACCUCCUGUGUUGAAGUGGAUUUGAACGUGGUUUCAUUCUAUUUUUCUUAAUAAAAUCCAAUAAACGUUUUUAAAAAAAAUAUAGACUUGGCUCUACAAAAAUGGGGGAGGGGGUAUCCAAAAAAUAUAGUAAAUUCUAACAUCAUUAUGAUUGAUAUAUAAAGAGGCUUUAAAAACUUUAUAUGACAAAAAUAUAAGAUGUAAUUAGCAUGAAUGCAACAUAUUUUAAUGUUGAAUGCAUGUAUGCUUUGCACUUGCGAUGGUUUUGUCUUAUGUUUCUUGUUGUGGAAAGUUUCAAAAAUGCAUUUAUACAUCGGUUACAAUGAUUUGGGAAUUUUCCGUAUUUUUAGAUUUAUAUAUUUCUGUUUUCCUAGAGCUAAAUCUAUUUCUUGGAAGAUGCUACAUAUAUGAGUUCUAAAUAUUUUAUUAGAAUUUGUUGUAUACUAAUUUAUACCUAUAAUUUUUAUCGGAAUUUUUAGAAACUUAAGGACAUUUUUCCAUGUUUAAAUAUAGGGUUUGUAAAAACACAACAACAAAUGUGCGUGAUCCUGGUAGGUAAAAUAGGAAAAGAAGCGUAAACAAAAUACAAUGACUGAUGUAAGUUAUUGUUUGAUUUGAUUAGCUGGAUGCAGCAAAUUCAUUUUAUAUAUAGAGAGGUGUGAGUUUCCCUAUGGAUUUCGAUCAUGUCCGGCUGCUUUACCAUGUCUAAGUCCUUGUUUUUUAAACUUCGAUUAAUAACAUGUUGUUUACAUAUAUAAUAUAAAUAAUAUAAUAAAAAAGACAGCAUUUUGCUUCCACAUUUUAUGGAGAGAAAGAGCGAUUUUGGGUCGUGGAAAAUAUCUGAGUUCCGAACUGGAGUUUGCAGAAAAGAUAAAAAGAACUUGAUUCUUUUUUUGCUAAACCAACACUUUUAAGAAUCAGACUACGUAUUAUCGCUAGACAUGUUGUUUUACAUACCUCAGUACAUAUAGUUGUAGAUUAGAAUUCCUAUUCAAGUUAUUUAUGAUCAGAGUUCUAUUAGAAUUAGGAUUUUGCCUCUAUAAUAUAUAUAUAUAUAUAUAUAUAUAUAUAUAUAUAUAUAUAUAUAUAUAUUAUAGAGGCAAAAUUUCAGCCUCUUUUUUGGUUGGAUUUUUUUUCAUCUGGCCAGAUUCUUAUAUGCACUCGCGUUCCAUCGCUGCCAGCACACUUGUUGCCUCACGCCCGCUCUCGUCCCUGGCUCAUCCCCCAGCCGGCGGAGCCUAGGCGAGGAUGGGAACAGCGCGCUCGCUCAGGCAGGCGGGCCAUCGACGCUUGCCCCGGCGGCGGCCCAUCCUGCUGCGCUCGAGGAGGCCCAGGCGGUGCAUCUUAAGGAGGACGCUGUCAGAAACGCGGAGGCGCGCAAUGACGAGCAGAUCCUCGAGAACAGCGUUGUAGUGCGCCGUGUCGAUCUCGGCGGCGGCGGCGGCGGAGCCCCAUGGCACGGCAACAGUAAGGAAGAUCAAGGUGCUACAACGGCAACGACGUCCAGCUUUGUUGGUCGUGGCAGCAACAGCAAGACGGCAGCCCAAUCACCUUGGUCACGGCGACAACUUUGUUUCUUCCCCAAUCACCUACACUUAAUUUGUUUGCCAAUCUCUUGCUAUAGAGUUCUUCCUAAUCGUUAGAAGAUGUUUCCGUUUCUUCCCCAAUCAUCUGCUGCUAUAUAAUUUCAUAGUGUGUGGCCAGAAUAUGCAAAGCUUUUGACUCCUGGAUAAAUAGAUAGAUAAACUGGUCAGAAUAUGGAUUGCAAUGACCUGCUGAAUAAGUUCAAUUGCUAAUUUCCCUAUAACUAAGUGCAUUUUUGUUUGCUCAAACCGUGCUGCAAGAAAAAAUAUGGGACCUACAUUCUAUUAUCAAUAAGUACUCUCUGUUAUGAACCUAACAUCAGAAAUCAUGAAUUGCUGCUGUUAUUUGAUAAUUUUCAGUUUACCAAACCAAGUACUACCUUGUUUUUAAGAUUCUGAAAAUAGAGAGCAUGCAUGUGUAACGGUUGUGUCAACUUACUUUGAAUUAUGUAUCCACUAUGUGGUUUCUAUUAGGCAUGAUAGGCAUUCAAGAAUCUAAUAGGUUUCUGUUAGGCAUGAAAAUUAGACAAACUGCUAAAGUGUUUUAGAGAAGUAGAGCAGUCUUGAAUUGUUCCUACUGAAAGCACUAUGACUUUGAUGUUGCUUGGUAGUGUUCAGUUUCAUAUAACUAGGCAACUGAAUUAGCAGUAUGUAACUUAUGUGCAUCAUUUUGAAACUUAAUGGCUUUGUGAACUAUUUUUUGUAGGGAUAAAGAUUAUGUGCCCAUAAACUGUUUCAUGUGGUGUUCAUAUGCUGAACUGGAUGUAAACCUUGACAAAGUGGUGUUCAUAUUGUGGUCACUAAAUUGAGAUGAUUAUCAACUGUUAUGCUUCACCUGAACUGUACACUGUGUCUAUAACAAAUCGAUGAAUGGACGACACCUACUCACGAUCUUAAGAUGUUCACGUUGCUGGCCCUAGAGCUGGAGGAAUUUACAGUCUCCAAUCAGCCAUAUUUGAAGGUUUAUUCUGGUGGAGACCUGUCGUGUGUGGCGAACCUCAAGAUUGGCCCGUGGUCACACAUGCAUGGCUACUCUGAUUACGAUGACAUGAACACUAAGCUUUUACCUCAUUCAGCGUUGCAGGUUCACCCGAUGUGCCUUGUUGAGCGUCUUGAAAUUCCACAGGUACGUGUAUACAUGCAUGAUAACAUAUGUCAUGAUAGUGGCCUACAAACUCGUCGCAAACUAAUAAAACAUUACAAGGGACGAACCAAAUGUAAACCAGCCCGGCCAUAUAAAUCUCAGUUUGAUUGUCCUUUAGAGAGGGCGGUCAGGUUCUUUGAUGCCUCAUCUGUCACAUACUCAUAUUUGAACCAUUGAUCCACCCAUAAGAAAUAAAGAUUUCUACUGCUAAAUUGUGAUGUAAUUUUGAUUAGAAAUUUUAUUAAAAGCUAGAUUAGCUAAAGGUUCAACUGAUAAAAUCCACCCAUAAGAAAUAAAGAUUUCUACUGCUAAAUUGUGGAUGUAAUUUUGAUUAGAAAUUUUAUUAAAAGCUGGAUUAGCUAAAGGUUCAACUGAUAAAAAAUAUGAAUUGAAAUAUUAAGUAGGUUUUUGUCUAAUCCAAUUUAAAUAAAUGUAUAUCUGGAAUCUCCUGAUUAGGACUAGCAUGUGAAAAAUCUAGAGAGGUCUUCUGUCAUAAUCACCAGAGGACAGAUCAAUCCUUGACAUGUUUGCAUAACUCCUUGUCGACAUUAAUCAUAGAUCAAAUACGUAUAUUUGUGGGUCCUAAAAGAUCACAAAACUCGAUAUUUUAACUAAAGGAACACAUGAAUAGUAUAAAAAUUAAUUAAAGUUAUUGUUUAUUGCAUCUAAAUAUUUAUGCGCUUUGCAAUAGGAGAAAAAUCCAUCAAAAAUAUAUUUUAAUUUGAUAGAGGCUUAGUAUUGUCAUAUUGUCGCUGACAUUAACUUAUAUUAUGGAUGUCAUGGUCAUAACAAAAUAAAUUAUAGCCUUCAAGUUUUAUGGAGUGAAACAUAAAUAAUAUAUAUAUCGAUCCUAUCGUCGUUUUUAUGAACAUGUUAGUUUUUUUUCUCUCGUCGCAACGCACGGGCAUGUUUUGCUAGUAUCAUAUAAAAUAGGAAUAGCUCUAGGCUGAUACAAAAUAGGAGGGAUCUAGAAUAGAUAUAGAUAUGAUGAAAAAGAAUAAAGCUGACCGGUUAAACUCCAAUCCGGAGCAUCUAAUAUGUAAACUGAUGGCCUCAAGCGGAGAGCCCGCUCCUCGCCGGCUUGCCUCUCCUCUGUUGAGACAGUGGUUGUUUGUGGCGUAGUUGAGGAGAGAAGAUGAGGUCGAGGAGGUAACGCUGAGGGAGGUGAAGGCAGCACGUCUUGUGCUCGCGCCGAGCUUGGCCCGUGUGAAGCGAGAGAGGAUUCUAUGAUGCAGCAUCUUAGAUGCUUUAAUCACCCGUGCGAGCCGGCCUCCUAAGAGCAACUCCAGCAGUGGCACCUAAAUCAGGGCCUCUACUUUUGAUUUGGGUGCUGCCUCCUAUUUUUAUUGGCUCAUAUUUUUGAUUCUACUCCAACAACGCCCCCCAAAUUGAGGCCCUCAAACCUAUUUCGCCAGACAAUGACAAAUGGGACCCGUUUGUCAUUGUCUCUUCUUCCUUUGUACAUGGAGCUCGCCGGAGAUGGAUUCGACUGGAGCUUGUGCUCGAGCUUGAGGGGCGUCGCGUCCGCACGGCGGAGUAGGGUCUCGCACGGCAGGGGGCAGCGCAACCACACGGCAAGGGGCGUCGCGCCCGCACGGCGGAGCAGGGCUCCAGCAGUGGGGCAGCGCGAUUGCGGGCGAGGGACAGUGCGCCCGUGCCGUGGAGCACGAGCUCACACGUCGGGGGGCGCCUACACCGAGGGAGAAGAGCUCGCGCCGAGGAGGGAGUGGCGCGCAGGGAGCCCACGCGGCGGAGAGCGGCAGGGUCACCGGUGAUGUCGCGGGGAAGAGAGCUCACCAGCCGAGGAAGGUGGGCCGCCGCGCCAGACGUGAGGCGGAUAGCCGCGCUCGUCGGAUGGGAGGGAGACGCGCCCGAGCAGAGAAGACCGUACGACGCGGGGCUGAACGAGCAGAUGGGGGCCGGUUUGUUGGGCCAACAGGAAUUGGGGCUGCAGAGAGGAUUUGGGGUCCCAACUAAAUAUAUUGGAGCUGCAGGGAGGAUUUGGGGUCCCAACUAAAUAUAUUGGAGCUGCAGGGAGGAUUUGGGGUCCCAACUAAAUAUGAAGUCUUGAGUAGAGAUCCUACUGGAGUAUGAUUUUUGACCUGAGCAUCUAUAUUUAGCUAUUAAGGCUUAAAUAGGGACUCUGCUGGAGUUGCUCUAACUGCGUCUAGUCAAACAAGGCAGGUUGCAGUUGCAACCGGCACGGUGGCCCGAGUGGGCCAGCGAAACAAACGCACCCUAAAAAGUCAAGAGCAUGCGCCUUGUUCAUUUAGGUUUAUAAACCGAAUAUGUCAGCGAUUGAUUCAGCAGUGUUUUUCUUUUAAAAAAAAAUUCUUAAAAAAUCAGCUAAAAAUACUUUCUGCCAUGGGUAUCAGCUCUUUAAAAAUGUUUGGAAAAAAACAUAUCUUUAAUUUUCUUUUUACAAUGCAUGAACACAACGUUAUGCAGCCAAGGACAUUUAACUAUCGCUACUAAGGUCUUAUUAUUUAGAUGCACCCAAGGUUCAAAAAAUUUAUAAAAUUUACCAUCACAUCGAAUCAAUAAAUAUAGAUAAAAAAUAACUAACUAUAACUUGUGAGACGAAUCUUGUAAGCCUAAUUAGUUUAUGGUUAAUCAAUAAUUGUCAAAUACAAGCGAAAGUGCUACAAUAUCAAACUUCAAAAACUUAUGUAUGCAUGGAUAUUUAUGAAUGCAUUAAUUAUUAGAAAUGGUGAUCAAUCUCCCCGAGGGCGGAGCAGCCAUGGUGGAAACUCAUGCUACCAUGAAAUUAGAAAAGAAAUGAGUUAUAAGACGCAUGUUAUAUUGAGCCUCAAGCAAUAUAUAUAGAGAGAGAAUACAAAGGCUUUAGUACCACUCCAAUAUCCUGCCAACCAAACAUACUCUAACAAGAGUUUUAGUUCAAGACAACCUCGGUUCAAAAUCCUAGCAUCAUAAUUCAUAAACAGCAGACUUCACAAAGAUCGAGCAGGCUUAGAACACCCUGUAUGGUUUCCCCAUGGUGCUCUUGACGUAAAGGCAUCUCACCUGCAUAAGCAUAUAUCACAACAUGUUAUAACCAAGUCCUUCAGAUUAUAUUCUAAAAAAUGUUCGUUAGAUGUAAAACAAAACAGGUACAAUUAUUAAGGUAAAGAUGCAACAGUGACUAGAGCAUCACUCACAUUCUGCCAGUUCUUCUUCAGGAGGGACACAAGGAAGUUCACACUCAUUUGGAUGUUCUGCUGGAUCUGCUUCUCCUCCAUGGACAAGUUACCGACGGCGACACCCAUGCAGAGGACCUUCUUCAGCUGAAACUUGACAGUAGCCUUCGUCUCAUUCACCUUGGAUUCCAGGGACUCCUGGUGAGUAACAAGCGUAGGGAACUUGCCUGCAGUAGUGAUAUCAACAUGAUUCAAUCAGAAGGGCAGGAAAUGCAGACCAUAUCUAGCAAAAGCUCUCAGAUGCAUAGCUCCCAGAGUUUGAAAAUGUCAAAUAGCAACACUAAUAAAACAUUUUAAUAUUAACACAUUGCUUUGAGAAUGUCAAAAAGAAACAGUAAUAAAACAUUUUAAUAUUAACACAAUGACAGGACAUUGGCUUUCAACAAGUACUAAGUAAUUAAGUCAUUAUCAAUCUUUGCAGGUAAGACUAACAUAUAGGAGGAACGCUAAUGCAUACCAUAAACGAAUGAAAACAGAAAAAUCAUGCAAAACUACGCACAGAAAUAUGAAACAGCACUGCAUGUUACAAGCUUAGAAUGCAAAUAACAAUUAUGUCAGAAAUGGACUACUUGCCUGCCUUGUUAAGACCAGGACCAAGGAGACGGGGAAUCUGCUUGAUGAUGGCCUCUGAUGCCAAAAACGCAUGGUACUUCUUGGCAAGCUUCUUAACAAGCUUCUUGUUCUUGUUCAUUUUCUUGAGGGACUCAACAUCCAUGUAGUCAAGUCCCAUCUUCUCAGCCUGGAAAUGAAGUAAAAUGGUUUAUGUCAGGAAGAGUUGAUCCAAGGGCAAUUAUACUAUCUGAGCACUCACUCAAACUUCCGUACAGUUGAGCAGGAUUUGUACAUACAGAUUUUAAUGCAAAUGAAAUCAAGCGCAAGAUUGGACUGAGUCAUACAUGCCAGGCGAAAUUGAGUAAUUCAAAACAUUGGCGUUUUUUCUGUUCAACAAACUACUAGUGUACUACUGUAAGCAUGUUCAAUAUAUAAAUAAGUAGAUUUUCAAGCACACCAGCAACUGCCUGCUUACCUCCUCAACGUGCUGGGCAUCACCAAGCAUGCACACCUUCAUCUUUGGACGAGGGAUGUGGGGCAACUUAACAGAGCCACUGAAACGCUUGUCCUUCUGUGGAUCAUAAUUCUUCAGACCAAUCUGAAGCUCAACAGUCUCGGUGAACUUCCUAUUCUUCUCCUUGGCAUCCCCAACAAUCUGAGAGAUGGCAUCCUUGAGAACCUCGGACUGCAACUUACUGCAUUAAUAUCAGUGCACAGAAUUUAUUAGACAAAGAUAAUCUAUCUGGUUGGGAACAAUACUAGGGAGAAUUGUAGAAGGCAAAAACUGCAGAAUAAUCAAUCAUAAUAAGCAAACUAAGUGAAUCUAUAUCAUGUGUUGAGACAACAACCUGAAUCUAUCUCACAUCCAUUUUCAUUAUGUAAAUUGUGAACGAACUAACUGGAGCCAACACCCAAAGAAUCAGAUUGGACUUAGGCCUGCUAACGGGGUCUAACCUCAACCCAACCCAUAGCCUAUGAGUCAACUGGUCUAGACAACAACCUGAAUCUAUCUCAAAUCCAUUUUCAUUAUGUGAAUGAACUAACAGCUGGACCCGACUUUCAAAGAAUCAGAUUGGAAUAGGACUGCUAAUGGGGUCUAACCCCACCCCAACCCACAGCCAAUGAGUCAACCUGUUAUGUCCAACCCUACCCAAAAAUCUAAAUCAAGCACCCACCCCAACCUGCUCCGCAACACCCACCCGCCAUUUAACCCAUGGAGCAUGCUAACUGAUGCUCUCUGGUUGCUGAAAGAUCCAUCCCCAGGCUGUUCUAAAUCAUGGAGAAAACUAAUCCAGAUGAACAAAAAUAUAAAUUUCCAAGCAAGGCAUCCAAAAUCCAUCCUCUGAUAACACACAGCAGCGAUUUUAGAUGGUAGGAUACAAAUUUUUACUUUCACACAGUUUAUUGAAAAAAUUUGUUUCUUCAGAAAACAAGAGAAACUGUCACAGAAAAGCCAAACUGGAUGGCCAUUAGCAACGGCCAGCCAGCAUUAAAUCCUGCAUUUAUCUUGUUGUAGAAAAGAGCUCGAGAGCUGUGGUGGAAACCAUGUGAUCACAUCCAUAUCACAGUCACACCUCAUUUCCAAAUCAAUCACUAUUCCAGGAAAAAAAAAGAGCAAUGCAGCAGAAAAAAAAGAACCACUGCAGAGAUAGGUUAGACAAAUCGCUGAUGAAAGUGCACAGGAUGAGGGCUUGAUGGCAGUACUCCUCGCCUUCCAUGCAAGCUGCCAGCGGCAGCGUAUGGGAGGAGACGACUGACAAGAACAUCCUCUCCUGCACAGAGGCGUGCUCCUCCUACCGCCCUCCUCUACAGUGUAGUGGCCCUCCAGCAGAGGGCUGCCCACACUAGGCUCCGUGGGGGGCUGGUGCCACACCAGUAAUGCCACAGCUCAGCCUCGCCGCCGCCCACUUGAGCAGCAACACGGCCCCACCCCUGGCUCCCCACAGACACAGUAGGGGCUGACAAAACCCACUUACUGACCCGCCCCAACUCGCGUUUCUUGUAAACCCAACCCGUCCCGAUCCACGACAUAGUAAAACAAGUUUCCACUCAUUUACCCACAGCACAUAUUAGAACCCAUACCAAAAAAAAGGGUUAAUGCCGCCCCGUUAGCAGGUCUAGAUUGGAAAGACCACGGCUACAUCAAGCAUAAUAAACUAAUCAAAGCAUGAUACAAGGGGGCUCCUAGAUUUCUUAUCAUCCUUAAUAUAGCUUAUGAUAAUCAAAUGAAACACAACUCAAAUACCUAAGGCAUUGAUCUCCUAAAGGCAAGAUUGAAGAUCCCCUGUAGGACCAAAUCCUACCAUGGCAAUCGACGAGACAACUACAUAUCACUCAAAUCCUACACGAAAUCGGCAUUUCUACCGUACGAACCGAUGCACGACACAGCAGAUGCAACGAGAAGGGGAAAUCAGUAGUACCUCAUGGCUGCAACCGUUCACUCGACUCCCUGUAGAAGGAACAACAAAAAAACAGAGAGGGGUCAGAUACGGUGAAACGGACAACAGAUAGGGCACCGAAACAUGCGACUUCGCGAAUCGAGCCGUCAGCAAGAGAGGAGGCUGCCAUGGCACUGGAAGCAUACCUGCUAGGGUUUGGCCCGAGGCGAGCGACGGAGCGAGAGGGAAGGGACGGCGGCGCCGGGUGUUUAUAUACGAGCGGGGAGCGGUGUCGAAGCAAAACCCUAGAACGAGCUCCCGAUGGAUGACGCGUGUUAAUCUUGAGACCGCCAGAUGCGGGUACGGACGUUAUGGCCAUUGGGCCUCUUCAGGAUAUAUGUGGGCUAUGUUUGUGGCUUCGUCACUGUUCAUGGGCUUCAAUUGCGAUCACGUAAGGAAAAACUAUUUAAGGCCUUGUUUACUUUUAAAAAAAAAAAUCAAGAUUUCUCGUCACAUCAAAUCUUAAGACAUAUGCGUGGAGUAUUAAAUAUAGAUGAAAAUAAAAAUUAAUUACACAGUUUGCCUGUAAAUUGUGAGAUUAAUCUUUUGAGUUUAAUUAGUCCAUAAUUGAAUAAUAUUUGUCAAAUAAAAACGAAAGUGCUACACUACUCAAAAACACAAAAUUUGGGAACUGAACAAGGCCUAAGCUAUUUCUGCUAAAAAACUCUUAACCUAUCGUUGGCUCAAAAAAACUCUUAAGCUAUCGUCAUAGUUGGAUUUUCUUUCUAGAACUUUAAAAUUUUUAUAGGCAUUUCAUAUCCUCUAAACUCCCAAUACCAUUCAAAUUACCUCUUGCCAUGGAUUGAAGUGGUUUUGAAUGUGGUUUCAUCCAUUAUUAAUAAAAAUCCAGUAAAUACUUGAUUAUUUUUUAAACCAUAAACAUUGUCUUAAAAAUUCUAAAAACAUCUAAGAAAAUCCUAGAUAUAUAUUGGAUGUAAAAAAAUCCAAAUAAAAUAUUUAUACAUUGUCAAAAUAUCUCUAGAAAUUUUUAAUUUAACUCUAUAAAAAUGGGGAAAUAUCAAAAACUAGAAAAUUCUGGAAACAUGAUGAUUGGUAUAUAAAUGGGCUAUGACAAAAACAUGAGAUGCAAUCGACAUGAAUAUGACAUAUAUUAAUGUAAAAUGCAUUUAUGCUAUGCACUUUGUAAUGGUUGUGUGUUGUUUUUUUAGAAAGUUUUCAAAAUACAAUAAGACAUCAAUUAUAAUGAUUUGUGUUUUUUCUAUAUUUUUGGAUAUAUUUUUAUUUUCCUAGAAGUAAAUCUAUUUUUGGAAGCUGCUAAAUAUACGAGCGAGUUUUUUUUUUUUUUGAAAUUGUUGCAUUUAAAUUUAUGCCUAGGUUCGAAAAAACGCUUCUUUGUUUCAGGGUUAAGACGCUUCCUUCUAGAACAAAGCAAUGUGAAACAUGGUCUAUGGUAGAUAUAUCCACGAGUGGUGUCAAAGAGAGCACGAGCAAAUGAGGCCAUUUAAUCCUAAAAGAAGCCAGACUAGUAGAGAUGUACCCCAUCCAUCCCAAAUCAUAAAGUCAUUCCAACUAUCUUAGAGAGUCAAAUCAUCUCAAGUUUGUUCAAAAUUAUAGAGAUAAUUACAAGGAUUUAUGACAUUUUGUAUUAUAAAAAUAUAACUAAUAAAAAAUCUAAUAAUACUAUAAAUGUUAUUAUUUUAUUAUAUAAAUUUGAUCAGACUUGAAAUGCUUUGACGACUCUUGAGAAAGUUAUAUGACUUAGGGAUCCUUUGGAUUACAUGAUUUUUGAAGGAAAAAUAUUGGGGUGUACUGUUUAGUGAAGGAAAGUUUCCUAUCCUAUGGUUUGGAAGCACUACUAUUCCAUAGGAUUUCCUAUGCUAUGUGUAGAUUCCAUAGGAUUUGUAACAUCCACUCAUACCUCUUGGAAAAAUUCAUAUGCACCAAAUAUGAGGAGUUGAAUGCUGAUGCUAGUAACCAAUGGUCAAUUAUGGCUUGUUCUACCCAAACCCAAAGAGAGCAAACACAUGCAUUUGGUGUUAUUUUUAUUCAAUCUUGAUAUUUCUGCAAAAUGAAUCAUCACUUCUAUGUUUUACAUCCUUUGUUUUGCACAUGCAGCCCUAUAUUAUUUAUAUAUUUUUUCUAUUCCUAUAUUUUUUAAAUCCUACCUUCGAAAGGAGCCCUUAGAAUUUGGAACGAGGAGGUAUAUAGAAGGCGGUGCAUUAUUGACAUUGACACCACUCCACGCGUUGGUGAUUACGGUGUUUGGAUUCCUAUGGCUAAACUUUAGUCCAUGUCAUAACGGAUAUUUAGACACUAACUAGGUGUAUUAAAUUAAAAAUAGACUAAUUACAUAAAUGAAAACUAAUUCACAAGACGAGUCUAUUAAGUACAAAUAAUUCGUGAUUAGCCCAUAUGAUGCUACAACAAACAUGUGCUAAUCAUGACUUAAUUAGACUUAGGCCUUGUUUAGAUCCAAAAACUUUUUGGAUUUUGAUACUGUAGCAUUUUCGUUUUUAUUUGACAAACAUUAUCCAAUCAUGGAGCAACUAGGCUUAAAAGAUUUGUCUCGUGAUUUACAAGUAAACUGUGCAAUUAGUUAUCUUUUUUAUCUACAUUUAAUAUUCCAUGCAUUUGCCGCAAGAUUCGAUGUGAUGGGGAAUCUUGUAAAGUUUUGGGUUUUUGGGUGUAUCUAAACAAGGCCUUAAUAGAUUCAUCUCAUGAAUUAGUCUUGGUUUGCGUAAUUAGUUUUAUAAUUAGCUCACAUUUACUUCUCUCAAUUGUUAUCUAAACAUCCGAGUAAAGUUUAGGCCUUGUUUAGUUCACCUCAAAAACCAAAAACUUUUCAAGAUUUUCCAUCACAUCGAAUCUUGCGGCAUAUGCAUGGAGCAUAAAAUAUAGAUAAAAACAAAAACUAAUUGCACAGUUUAUUUGUAAAUCGUGAGACGGAUCUUUUAAGCCUAGUUACUAUAUGAUUAGACAAUGUUUGUCAAAUAAAAACAAAGUGCUACAGUGUCGAAAUUCAAAAAAAAUUGGAUGUAAACAAGGCCUUAGCACUUGCUAGGAAGGAAAGUGCUUGCCUGGCAGUAUGUUGAUCGUAAAUUAGGUGAUGGUCAGACACUGAGAAAACAGGUACUCGUAAUUCUAGAACCGAGAACCACGCGUGAUUGGCAAAGGCAGCCGGCGCAGGCACGCUAGCUGGGAACGCCGAAUAUGCGGCUUGCUUGUUGGGACGACCGGUGGCCGCCGCACCUUUGAUCCAUCUGCAUAUCUCAUCAGGCAUCUCGAUCGAUCGGCACAGUAUAUUCGGCCUAUCGUCAUCCAUCUGACAUUUUGACUAUCUCAUCCCACAUGUAAUGUCUGCGAUUGUCAUCGAGUAUUCCAAAUUAAUAAUCCUGUCAUUCGGCGACAAUCGGGCCGGGUGAUUAUUAUUAUGCACGUAGUCGAUCGAUCUAAUAUAUGAUAGAAUUACGAGAGAACAAGGCAUCUGUUGUGGAGAUAUACAUAUAUAUAGCUAAUAUAUAUAACUUCAUCGCCAUGUCCGCCAUGCGUCGUUGUCAUCAUCAUCCUCCUCCUCCUCCUUGAUUACUCUUGCUCCACUUACUCGUGCUAGCAAGCUCGUACAUGAUUGAUGAGCUACAGUUGCUGUGUGUAGUAGUAGUAGUUUUAGAGUUAUCAUGGAGCUGUUCGCUGAUCUGGAAAAUAAAUUAUUGUUGACUGAUUUAUUGUAAGAGAAAAACACUGUUCGCUGAUAGAAAAAAGUACGGCUGAAAAGAAAAGAGAACAGGCUUUCACAAAUUAUUAGUAGUUCUCAAUCAUAUAGCCAGCGGAAAAAGACACACAAGACACUAGUAUAAUACUAGAAUAUACGCAAUUAUUAUAUAUACUAUGUAUGUAUGUAUGUAUGUAUGUACGGAGCUUGCAUUGAUGCAGUGGUGUUGGUUGGCGAGGCUCGGCAGCCGCGGCGCUGUCGUCGUCGUGUACAUGUAGGUCCUCAACUCCUCAUUUAGUCAUGUGUUCCAUGCGCGGCGCGCGCAUCUCAUCUCCUUGUUCUUUGUUAUUGUUUGCAGCAUCGUAAUUAACAUUUCUUCCUUCAUCCGUCAAUCACCCACCACACACGCAUCAUCCGUCCGUCAUCUUCUCCUCCUCGCUGGCUGAUGAGAUGAUGAUGACAUCUAUAUAUCCAAGAAUAUGCAUGCCGCAUAAUGUGUGUAUCGACAAGAUCACCAUUUUUUGGACGCAUAAUAAUAUACUCUCAUGCACGUGGGUGUGGAUCGGCGUAUGAGAUUAUUGUCGGUCGAUUCCUGGUAAAUUUUAGUCACAUUAAUUCAUGCAUGGAGGGCCUCCCAUAGUCCCAGCUAUAAUGGACGAUACACGUACUGGAUUACUGUAUCGAUCACUGCAUCAUUAUUCUUUUUCUUGAUCCCAGUGUUCGUGACUUCGCUGUUUGGUUUUGUUUGGUGAAGUUUACCGUGUGCCACAUCGAAUAUUUAGACACGUGUAUGAAGUACUAAAUAUAGACUAUUUACGAAACUAAAAACACAACUAGAGAGAAAUUUAUGAGACGAAUCUUUUAAGCCUAAUUAGCUCAUGACUGAACAAUAAUUUUUAAAUAAGAUAAAAAUACUAUAAUAUCCGUUAAACUUUAACACCCCCUAACCAAGCACCCUCAAAGAGUGCCUUUCACGGUGUCAUCAUCAGAGAAAUAGUCAUCACGAGGCAUGUUGGAUUAUUUGAACUACUUGAAAUAGUGUUAUUUUUUAUAAUGUGUUAUUUUUUAUAAUGGUCAGAAAAGCAUUGGACUUUGGAAAAGAAACUUCAAAGAUGAACUUUACAUUGUGUGUACCAAAGCCAAAGCAACAAGCAGAAGCACCUUAACCAGUUUAUGGAGAGAUAGUUUUACUUAGUUAUUUCCUUGUUUUUGCUUUGGGCCUAGUUGCCUUGUACUUGCUCUUUGUACACAACAUUCUCUUGGGCAUCUUGAUCCUUUCAGAACGUAUCCCAUGUUCUAGUUUCUAAUUUUUGUGAAGGAAACAAGGAACUGAAACAUACAAUGUAUCAACUUUUUUUUUUGAAGGAAACGAGGAACUGAAACGUUUCGGAUUCAAGCAGCUGAACACUAUUUGGAGCUAUUUCUAGUGAAUCACAUGAGAGACGGAUCCGAUUCUAACAUCCAAACACAAUGCAGUGCAAGCAGUUACUUACAAUCUUACAGGCCUAAUCUGUAUGUAUUCAUCUCAAUCUAUAUGUGUUGAAGUGGAUUUGAAUGAAAUUCUACUCCAAUCCACUUCAAUACAUGUGAAUUGAAGUGGAUACACAUGCACCUAAAUAAGACCUUAAAAGGAACCAUAUAUCUCGUCCCAUCUUGGAUGAUUCCUCCAUGCAAACAAGCACAAAAGAUAGCAACCGAUCAAUACUUCCUACGAGCAUCAAUCUGUUCUAACUUAUGCAGUGCAUUGACCAAUGACCAACACCAACAGAGAUGAAAGAACAGAUGAGCUGAAUAUGCAGGCGCCCAACUACGGGUCACCGCUAGUGGUGAGCAGGAAAGUUGCUGGGGCAUUUAAGCUGUAUGUGACAUGCCUAUUAUCAUCGCUCAUAGUGUUGUUUGGUCGUGCCUGUCUGAAAAAAGAAGGAAUAGAGAGAAAAGACAAUCAUUGCACACAACAUUGGCGAAAUGGACCCAAAUGUGCUGGAUAAAAGACAAUAAUGACAUCUUCAAUAUAAUUACGAUGAAGGUCAAAGAUUGAAAAUAGGGAUGUGCAUAUGCAUGUAGGAAUGUGUUAGAUUUAAUGUGGACUUGUCCAAUAUUUUAAUUAAUUAGAUCGAAUAAAAUCCUAAAAUCUAGAUUAAAUAUUGCGUGCAUUAUAUGAUUUAGUCCUAUAUGGGAUUAUAGUUGAAUGUUAACUUGAUUUAUAUGUGUGGAUUGUGUUUGCCUACAUUGAUAUUGAGAAGUUGAGAAAAGAUGAAGGCGUGCCACACGCACGCAACUGUCAUUGCCGAGCUGAGCCCGACUCGAUGUGGUAUUAUAGUUGGUUUUGCCACUCAAGCCGGUUAAUGACACGAGUUGGAAGUUUUAGGAGUUUCCGCUUAUAAGGACAGCUGCUCAUGAUAACAGAAGUCGUGAGCAUCUCUUCUCUAUCUCUUGCAGCAGCAGCAGCAACAACAACAACAACAACAACAACAACAACAACAACAACAACAACAACAACAACACCACCACCACCACCACCAACAACAACAACAACAACAACAACACUACAAAAAAAAAAGAGAAAGAAGGGUCAGAUACGGUGAAAUGGACAACAUAUAGGGCACCGAAACAUGUGAUUUCGCGAAUCGAGCCGUCAUCAAGAGAGGAGGCGGCCAUGGCAAGCAUACCUGCUUAGGGUUUGGCCCGAGGCGAGCGACGGAGCGAGGCGAAAAGGGAAUUGAAACGGCGGCGCCGGGUGUUUAUAUAUGAGCGGGGAGCGGUGUCGAAGCAAAACCCUAGAACGAGCUCCCGAUGGAUGACGCGUGUUAAUCUUGGAACCGUCGGAUGUGCGGAUUCGGACGUUUUGGGCCAUUGGGCCUCUUCCAGAUGUAUGUGGGCCAUAUUUGUGGCUUUGCCACUGAUCAGGGCUUCCAAUAGUGACAUAAGGAAAAUGUGUUAUAGUCGAAUUUUCCUCAUAUAGAACUUUAAAAUCAAACAUUUUAACCUCUAAACUUUCAAGACUAUUCAAAUUACCUCCUGUGUUGAAGUGGAUUUGAACGUGGUUUCAUUCUAUUUUUCUUAAUAAAAUCCAAUAAACGUUUUUAAAAAAAUAUAGACUUGGCUCUACAAAAAUGGGGGAGGGGGUAUCCAAAAAAUCUAGUAAAUUCUAACAUCAUUAUGAUUGAUAUAUAAAGAGGCUUUAAAAACUUUAUAUGACAAAAAUAUAAGAUGUAAUUAGCAUGAAUGCAACAUAUUUUAAUGUUGAAUGCAUGUAUGCUUUGCACUUGCGAUGGUUUUGUCUUAUGUUUCUUGUUGUGGAAAGUUUCAAAAAUGCAUUUAUACAUCGGUUACAAUGAUUUGGGAAUUUUCCGUAUUUUUAGAUUUAUAUAUUUCUGUUUUCCUAGAGCUAAAAUCUAUUUCUUGGAAGAUGCUACAUAUAUGAGUUCUAAAUAUUUUAUUAGAAUUUGUUGUAUACUAAUUUAUACCUAUAAUUUUUAUCGGAAUUUUUAGAAACUUAAGGACAUUUUUCCAUGUUUAAAUAUAGGGUUUGUAAAAACACAACAACAAAUGUGCGUGAUCCUGAUAGGUAAAAUAGGAAAAGAAGCGUAAACAAAAUACAAUGACUGAUGUAAGUUAUUGUUUGAUUUGAUUAGCUGGAUGCAGCAAAUUCAUUUUAUAUAUAGAGAGGUGUGAGUUUCCCUAUGGAUUUCGAUCAUGUCCGGCUGCUUUACCAUGUCUAAGUCCUUGUUUUUUAAACUUCGAUUAAUAACAUGUUGUUUACAUAUAUAAUAUAAAUAAUAUAAUAAAAAAGACAGCAUUUUGCUUCCACAUUUAUGGAGAGAAAGAGCGAUUUUGGGUCGUGGAAAAUAUCUGAGUUCCGAACUGGAGUUUGCAGAAAAGAUAAAAAGAACUUGAUUCUUUUUUUGCUAAACCAACACUUUUAAGAAUCAGACUACGUAUUAUCGCUAGACAUGUUGUUUUACAUACCUCAGUACAUAUAGUUGUAGAUUAGAAUUCCUAUUCAAGUUAUUUAUGAUCAGAGUUCUAUUAGAAUUAGGAUUUCUAACUACGUAAGUUACCUCAUCUAUACCUAUAUAUAUAUAUAUAUAUAUAUAUAUAUAUAUAUAGAGGCAAAAUUUCAGCCUCUUUUUUGGUUGGAUUUUUUUUCGUCUGGCCAGAUUCUUAUAUGCACUCGCGUUCCAUCGCUGCCAGCGCACUUGUUGCCUCACGCCCGCUCCCGUCCCUGGCUCAUCCCCCAGCCGGCGGAGCCUAGGCGAGGAUGGGAACAGCGCGCUCGCUCAGGCAGGCGGGCCAUCGACGCUUGCCCCGGCGGCGGCCCAUCCUGCUGCGCUCGAGGAGGCCCAGGCGGUGCAUCUUAAGGAGGACGCUGUCAGAAACGCGGAGGCGCGCAAUGACGAGCAGAUCCUCGAGAACAGCGUUGUAGUGCGCCGUGUCGAUCUCGGCGGCGGCGGCGGCGGAGCCCCAUGGCACGGCAACAGUAAGGAAGAUCAAGGUGCUACAACGGCAACGACGUCCAGCUUUGUUGGUCGUGGCAGCAACAGCAAGACGGCAGCCCAAUCACCUUGGUCACGGCGACAACUUUGUUUCUUCCCCAAUCACCUACACUUAAUUUGUUUGCCAAUCUCUUGCUAUAGAGUUCUUCCUAAUCGUUAGAAGAUGUUUCCGUUUCUUCCCCAAUCAUCUGCUGCUAUAUAAUUUCAUAGUGUGUGGCCAGAAUAUGCAAAGCUUUUGACUCCUGGAUAAAUAGAUAGAUAAACUGGUCAGAAUAUGGAUUGCAAUGACCUGCUGAAUAAGUUCAAUUGCUAAUUUCCCUAUAACUAAGUGCAUUUUUGUUUGCUCAAACCGUGCUGCAAGAAAAAAUAUGGGACCUACAUUCUAUUAUCAAUAAGUACUCUCUGUUAUGAACCUAACAUCAGAAAUCAUGAAUUGCUGCUGUCAUUUGAUAAUUUUCAGUUUACCAAACCAAGUACUACCUUGUUUUUCAGAUUCUGAAAAUAGAGAGCAUGCAUGUGUAACGGUUGUGUCAACUUACUUUGAAUUAUGUAUCCACUAUGUGGUUUCUAUUAGGCAUGAUAGGCAUUCAAGAAUCUAAUAGGUUUCUGUUAGGCAUGAAAAUUAGACAAACUGCUAAAGUGUUUUAGAGAAGUAGAGCAGUCUUGAAUUGUUCCUACUGAAAGCACUAUGACUUUGAUGUUGCUUGGUAGUGUUCAUUUUCAUAUAACUAGGCAACUGAAUUAGCAGUAUGUAACUUAUGUGCAUCAUUUUGAAACUUAAUGGCUUUGUGAACUAUUUUUUGUAGGGAUAAAGAUUAUGUGCCCAUAAACUGUUUCAUGUGGUGUUCAUAUGCUGAACUGGAUGUAAACCUUGACAAAGUGGUGUUCAUAUUGUGGUCACUAAAUUGAGAUGAUUAUCAACUGUUAUGCUUCACCUGAACUGUACACUGUGUCUAUAACAAAUCGAUGAAUGGACGACACCUACUCACGAUCUUAAGAUGUUCACGUUGCUGGCCCUAGAGCUGGAGGAAUUUACGGUCUCCAAUCAGCCAUAUUUGAAGGUUUAUUCUGGUGGAGACCUGUCGUGUGUGGCGAACCUCAAGAUUGGCCCGUGGUCACACAUGCAUGGCUACUCUGAUUACGAUGACAUGAACACUAAGCUUUUACCUCAUUCAGCGUUGCAGGUUCACCCGAUGUGCCUUGUUGAGCGUCUUGAAAUUCCACAGGUACGUGUAUACAUGCAUGAUAACAUAUGUCAUGAUAGUGGCCUACAAACUCGUCGCAAACUAAUAAAACACUACAAGGGACGAACCAAAUGUAAACCAGCCCGGCCAUAUAAAUCUCAGUUUGAUUGUCCUUUAGAGAGGGCGGUCAGGUUCUUUGAUGCCUCAUCUGUCACAUACUCAUAUUUGAACCAUUGAUCCACCCAUAAGAAAUAAAGAUUUCUACUGCUAAAUUGUGAUGUAAUUUUGAUUAGAAAUUUUAUUAAAAGCUAGAUUAGCUAAAGGUUCAACUGAUAAAAUCCACCCAUAAGAAAUAAAGAUUUCUACUGCUAAAUUGUGGAUGUAAUUUUGAUUAGAAAUUUUAUUAAAAGCUGGAUUAGCUAAAGGUUCAACUGAUAAAAAAUAUGAAUUGAAAUAUUAAGUAGGUUUUUGUCUAAUCCAAUUUAAAUAAAUGUAUAUCUGGAAUCUCCUGAUAAGGACUAGCAUGUGAAAAAUCUAGAGAGGUCUUCUGUCAUAAUCACCAGAGGACAGAUCAAUCCUUGACAUGUUUGCAUAACUCCUUGUCGACAUUAAUCAUAGAUCAAAUACGUAUAUUUGUGGGUCCUAAAAGAUCACAAAACUCGAUAUUUUAACUAAAGGAACACAUGAAUAGUAUAAAAAUUAAUUAAAGUUAUUGUUUAUUGCAUCUAAAUAUUUAUGCGCUUUGCAAUAGGAGAAAAAUCCAUCAAAAAUAUAUUUUAAUUUGAUAGAGGCUUAGUAUUGUCAUAUUGUCGCUGACAUUAACUUAUAUUAUGGAUGUCAUGGUCAUAACAAAAUAAAUUAUAGCCUUCAAGUUUUAUGGAGUGAAACAUAAAUAAUAUAUAUAUCGGUCCUAUCGUCGUUUUUAUGAACAUGUUAGUUUUUUUUCUCCCGUCGCAACGCACGGGCAUGUUUUGCUAGUAUCAUAUAAAAUAGGAAUAGCUCUAGGCUGAUACAAAAUAGGAGGGAUCUAGAAUAGAUAUAGAUAUGAUGAAAAAGAAUAAAGCUGACCGGUUAAACUCCAAUCCGGAGCAUCUAAUAUGUAAACUGAUGGCCUCAAGCGGAGAGCCCGCUCCUCGCCGGCUUGCCUCUCCUCUGUUGAGACAGUGGUUGUUUGUGGCGUAGUUGAGGAGAGAAGAUGAGGUCGAGGAGGUAACGCUGAGGGAGGUGAAGGCAGCACGUCUUGUGCUCGCGCCGAGCUUGGCCCGUGUGAAGCGAGAGAGGAUUCUAUGAUGCAGCAUCUUAGAUGCUUUAAUCACCCGUGCGAGCCGGCCUCCUAAGAGCAACUCCAGCAGUGGCACCUAAAUCAGGGCCUCUACUUUUGAUUUGGGUGCUGCCUCCUAUUUUUAUUGGCUCAUAUUUUUGAUUCUACUCCAACAACGCCCCCCAAAUUGAGGCCCUCAAACCUAUUUCGCCAGACAAUGACAAAUGGGACCUGUUUGUCAUUGUCUCUUCUUCCUUUGUACAUGGAGCUCGCCGGAGAUGGAUUCGACUGGAGCUUGUGCUCGAGCUUGAGGGGCGUCGCGUCCGCACGGCGGAGUAGGGUCUCGCACGGCAGGGGGCAGCGCAACCACACGGCAAGGGGCGUCGCGCCCGCGCGGCGGAGCAGGGCUCCAGCAGUGGGGCAGCGCGAUUGCGGGCGAGGGACAGUGCGCCCGUGCCGUGGAGCACGAGCUCACACGUCGGGGGGCGCCUACACCGAGGGAGAAGAGCUCGCGCCGAGGAGGGAGUGGCGCACAGGGAGCCCACGCGGCGGAGAGCGGCAGGGUCGCCGGUGAUGUCGUGGGGAAGAGAGCUCACCAGCCGAGGAAGGUGGGCCGCCGCGCCAGACGUGAGGCGGAUAGCCGCGCUCAUCGGAUGGGAGGGAGACGCGCCCGAGCAGAGAAGACCGUACGACGCGGGGCUGAACGAGCAGAUGGGGGCCGGUUUGUUGGGCCAACAGGAAUUGGGGCUGCAGAGAGGAUUUGGGGUCCCAACUAAAUAUAUUGGAGCUGCAGGGAGGAUUUGGGGUCCCAACUAAAUAUGAAGUCUUGAGUAGAGAUCCUGCUGGAGUAUGAUUUUUGACCUGAGCAUCCAUAUUUAGCUAUUAAAGCUUAAAUAGGGACUCUGCUGGAGUUGCUCUAACUGCGUCUAGUCAAAGAAGGCAGGUUGCAGUUGCAACCGGCACGGUGGCCCGAGUGGGCCAGCGAAACAAACGCACCCUAAAAAGUCAAGAGCAUGCGCCUUGUUCAUUUAGGUUUAUAAACCGAAUAUGUCAGCGAUUGAUUCAGCAGUGUUUUUCUUUUAAAAAAAAAUUCUUAAAAAAUCAGCUAAAAAUACUUUCUGCCAUGGCUAUCAGCUCUUUAAAAAUGUUUGGAAAAAAACAUAUCUUUAAUUUUCUUUUUACAAUGCAUGAACACAACGUUAUGCAGCCAAGGACAUUUAACUAUCGCUACUAAGGUCUUAUUAUUUAGAUGCACCCAAGGUUCAAAAAAUUUAUAAAAUUUACCAUCACAUCGAAUCAAUAAAUAUAGAUAAAAAAUAACUAACUAUAACUUGUGAGACGAAUCUUGUAAGCCUAAUUAGUUUAUAGUUAAUCAAUAAUUGUCAAAUACAAGCGAAAGUGCUAUAAUAUCAAACUUCAAAAACUUAUGUAUGCAUGGAUAUUUAUGAAUGCAUUAAUUAUUAGAAAUGGUGAUCAAUCUCCCCGAGGGCGGAGCAGCCAUGGUGGAAACUCAUGCUACCAUGAAAUUAGAAAAGAAAUGAGUUAUAAGACGCAUGUUAUAUUGAGCCUCAAGCAAUAUAUAUAGAGAGAGAAUACAAAGGCUUUAGUACCACUCCAAUAUCCUGCCAACCAAACAUACUCUAACAAGAGUUUUAGUUCAAGACAACCUCGGUUCAAAAUCCUAGCAUCAUAAUUCAUAAACAGCAGACUUCACAAAGAUCGAGCAGGCUUAGAACACCCUGUAUGGUUUCCCCAUGGUGCUCUUGACGUAAAGGCAUCUCA
This 25554-nucleotide long non-coding RNA is filed under the name Sorghum bicolor (sorghum). RNAcentral describes it as "long non-coding RNA (SBIC_LNC013326)". Lineage: Eukaryota; Viridiplantae; Streptophyta; Magnoliopsida; Poales; Poaceae. The record is from RNAcentral.